AUCUAACUGAUGAGUCCCAAAUAGGACAAAACGUGUCCUGGAU
Molecule: non-coding RNA, 43 nt
Filed under: Schistosoma mansoni
Lineage: Eukaryota; Metazoa; Platyhelminthes; Trematoda; Strigeidida; Schistosomatidae
Source: RNAcentral